UGUCUAAGAAACAUGAUAUUGGCAUUCUGGAAUAAUUGAGAAUUCUAUCAUCCUAUUGGACAAAGUUCCAAACUACAUGACAACAGAGCCCCUGUGAAGCUGAUUGCAUAAAACUAAAAUAUGAAAGAAAAAAAAAACACUCAUGCAGAGCUCCCAAAUAUGUUUUCAAAGCCAGCCUUGAUAAAAAUUCCUCUGGUUAAAGAGUUCAAGAGCCCACCUAUCAAGUAGAAAAGAUACAUUCACUCUACCUGUACCAAAUGGUACCUUCAUCUGUUUGAUGAAACCAGGAGUAAAGCAAUAGACCAAGUUCUGCUUUUGGAAAAAGAAGACAGAUUCAAUCAUUGCAUAUUCUUAAUAUGCAAAUCAUUAACUGGAUGCGUUCUAAACUGGAAGACUCAGAGAAUAGCAGCCCCAGGCCAUGGCAAAAUCAAGUUGGCACUGAGUCCUUUUGAUCUGCAGUCUUUUGAUACAGUUUGAAAAGUUACCGUGGCAACAGAUUAUGUCACCUGAAGUUGAAGAACAUUGAAGAUGUCAGAGGAAAUGAGUAAUCUUUACCUGGAGAAGUAAGACAAGUAGCCUACGCCUCUUACCAGAAAGUGACAAUGAUGGCUACAUCAUUCAUUAUUCUUCUCUUUUAUUAAAAGAACAUAUAUGGUUAUGGCA
This is a non-coding RNA of Ictidomys tridecemlineatus (thirteen-lined ground squirrel), 663 nucleotides long. The record is from RefSeq and is a predicted model, not a curated record. NCBI's taxonomy places the organism in Eukaryota, Metazoa, Chordata, Mammalia, Rodentia, Sciuridae.